Molecule: transfer RNA, 71 nt
Filed under: Loxodonta africana (African savanna elephant)
Lineage: Eukaryota; Metazoa; Chordata; Mammalia; Proboscidea; Elephantidae
Rfam family: tRNA
About the family: Transfer RNA (tRNA) molecules are approximately 80 nucleotides in length.
Source: Rfam by way of RNAcentral
GCCCCAGUGGCAUAACUGCUGAGCACUUGGCUGCUAACCAGAAGGUUGGUAGUCAAACCCACCCUGUGGCU